UCUUGUUGUCGGAGAAAAUCCAUCUGUCCAAGGAACCAUUGGGCAUGAGCUCGUAGACGAGCAGCCUGUGUGAAGCAUCGGCACAGAAGCCAUAGAGUUUGACAAUGUUGAUGUGGCUUAUGUUUCCCAGAGCGUUUAAGGAAACUGUUUAGUUCGUCGAGCAUGACCCUCCUUCGAUGCAGGAUCGUGAAAAGCAACGCAAAAGUUACAAUGGCUACAGCAGCUCCUCCAGAGGCACUAACCUGGAGUAAUUCUGGUACUUCAGAAAGCCGAACAGUUGCUGAGUCUUGUUCGAGUCUACCGUCAAGCUUCCCAGGACGUCUUCUAUGAAAAAGCAAUUCUGGAGCGCCUGGUCGAAAAAGAACGCCGCACAGGAGCAAGUGGAUUUGCAUUGCUCGAGGCAAUCUUGCAUUGCAGCGCCUGUUCUAUCGGGAGGGUUGAAAGUGUUGGCGAAGUACGAUGCACCUGCGAGUGUUACAAAGUCGGUCUCGUACCUGGAGCUGCAGUUUGCAAGAGAAGACCAUUCUGGCUGGGCACAACUUCCAAGUGCUGAGCCCAUAGCUCCCGCAUGGCGCUGGCGGUGGAAAGAACUGACUCGUGCUAUCGAGCUCCCAGCUUCCAUUUGCCAACUCUCGCCUGUAUGAAACCAUGGUCCCAUCAUCGGCAAGCUGGAAAUACCUCAUUGUGGUGUUCCCUGGGAAUAUUUCCCCGGACAGUGGAGAGCCACACGGCUGUUCGUUACCACCAACACGAAUAGGUUCGUAUACCAUGCUCAUUUCUCCUGCUGGCGUGAAUGAAAGAGCAGUUCGAUAUCCUGGGCAGUUUACACUGGGCGAGCCAAUUUGUGAUCCGACGAAGCUCCACAACAUUUACUAGCUUCUGGUUUGGCAUCAGUGCGCUCCAUGGGCGAUCAAAGGAACUCCAUACCGGGGUCUCAGAUUCAUCGAAGAGCUGCAAGUUCCCGGAAUUCUGAAUGCCGAUAUAGGCAACGCUUUCGUUUGGAGACCAUGCCACGGAACCAUUUGCAUCCAGGAGCUACGGGAGCUGCUGUGGAAGAGUUGCGAGUGCCAAACAUCAGUGCCAGAGAUUCUGGCCGGCUAGAAGGGUUAUCCUUUGGAAGAGCACUCACCAGGCGAUAACUCCCGGAUCUGCCACCGCCUUGGAAUUCUGGGAGACUGUUGUUCAUGAAAAUGCGCCAUUUAUCAGGUAUCGUGUACAACUUCCCUUCAGAAGUAACUGUGAGGAGCAUUAUUAGUUCCAGGAACAACGCCUUAGCAACCUGUGAAACCUUUUGCUUUUGCAUUGCUGCCGUUCUGCAUUGAGAACACCUGCUUAUACGAGACUUGGUACUCGAGACUGGAAUAAGUGGAAGAAGUAUGAAUAUGAAUGAGUCAAGUGAAUGGACCGCUCCCGUUCUAUAGAUACAAAAAUAGCUAGCGCAUUCUGCUUCAUGGUUCAUGGCUAUGAAGAUUUUUUUGGUCGCUUUCUUUCAGCUGAUGACAAUUCUCUUUCGUGUGCACGGCAGGAACUACAGUCUAUCACACGGCUGGGAAGUAACGAACAACAAUCAGCUUCUGGAAUUGCAAGGAUCA
Selaginella moellendorffii is the source of this 1592-nucleotide RNA transcript. RefSeq lists it as uncharacterized. The record is from RefSeq and is a predicted model, not a curated record. Lineage: Eukaryota; Viridiplantae; Streptophyta; Lycopodiopsida; Selaginellales; Selaginellaceae. The transcript has 7 exons.